AGAGUUUGAUCAUGGCUCAGGAUGAACGCUAGCGGCAGGCUUAAUACAUGCAAGUCGAGGGGCAGCGCGGGUAGCAAUACCUGGCGGCGACCGGCAAACGGGUGCGGAACACGUACACAACCUUCCUUUAAGUGAGGGAUAGCCCAGGGAAACUUGGAUUAAUACCUCGUAGUAUUGUUGAAUGGCAUCAUUUGACAAUU
This 200-nucleotide ribosomal RNA is filed under the name uncultured bacterium. RNAcentral describes it as "partial 16S ribosomal RNA". It matches the Rfam family "Bacterial small subunit ribosomal RNA", at positions 8 to 202 of the family's 1533-position model. The record is from RNAcentral.